Molecule: transfer RNA, 67 nt
Filed under: Lipotactes tripyrga
Lineage: Eukaryota; Metazoa; Arthropoda; Insecta; Orthoptera; Tettigoniidae
Description: tRNA-His
Source: RNAcentral
AUUUGUGUAGUUUAUUAAAAAUAUUGAUUUGUGGUAUCAGUGAAGUAAAUUUAAUUUACCUCAAAUU